GUGGCAUGUUUGUUCUUCCCGAUCCGGUG
This 29-nucleotide non-coding RNA is filed under the name Homo sapiens (human). Lineage: Eukaryota; Metazoa; Chordata; Mammalia; Primates; Hominidae. The record is from RNAcentral.